Molecule: transfer RNA, 91 nt
Filed under: Nitrospirota bacterium
Lineage: Bacteria; Pseudomonadati; Nitrospirota
Description: Nitrospirae bacterium tRNA-Ser
Rfam family: tRNA
About the family: Transfer RNA (tRNA) molecules are approximately 80 nucleotides in length.
Source: RNAcentral
GGAGAGAUGACCGAGAGGCCGAAGGUGCUCGCCUGCUAAGUGAGUGUGGCCGAACAGGCCACCGAGGGUUCAAAUCCCUCUCUCUCCGCCA